AGCCACUUCAUGUUGAAAAAAACGGCUCCCAUAUGAUCACCAAAGUUAAGCAACUUCAAACCUGUCGGUACCUUGAUGGGUGACUGCUUGGAAAUACCGGGUGUUGUCAG
This is a non-coding RNA of Acanthosepion pharaonis, 110 nucleotides long. The record is from the annotation of a GenBank genome assembly. NCBI's taxonomy places the organism in Eukaryota, Metazoa, Mollusca, Cephalopoda, Sepiida, Sepiidae.